Molecule: long non-coding RNA, 780 nt
Organism: Austrofundulus limnaeus
Lineage: Eukaryota; Metazoa; Chordata; Actinopteri; Cyprinodontiformes; Rivulidae
Exons: 2
Source: RefSeq, a predicted model, not a curated record
AUGAAGUAAAAAAAAAAAAAGUUUAUCGAUCCCUUGGCUUCUUCUUAAAAAAGAUAUUAAGAAGUAGAGAUAAUCAAAUCAGCCAAAAAUUAGUUAUAAUUGGCAAAGGAAUAAGGAAAAAAAUCUUUGAGAUUUGCAAUUUAAUCACAGCAUCUCCAUAGCAACACUCAAGUCAUAUCUGAAAUGAAUAGGUGAUGGACGAAAAGCACAACCACAUAAUGUAAAAAAAAAAAAAAAAAAGACACAAAGGAGGAUUAAAUUGAACAAGAAAAAAAAGGAAGAAAAAAAGUUAUUUUGCUGCACAAAACUGAGUCAAAACAGCUCGGAAGCCUUUUUGUGAAGAAAACACACACGGUGUGCCAUGGCAACACAAAUCUUCCUUCUGUUGCUGUUUUUUUUUUUUUUUUCGACUGUCUGGCAAAUCCACCUCUUGUUUUCAAAGCACUUUUUUUUCCUCUCUCUCCCUCUCUUUCUAACAGGUGCAAAACCUCUCAACUCAGCACAUCAAAGGGGCUCGUGCACCUGCGAAUAAAUCACAGCGAAUGGACUGUCACACAAACAAGUCUUGCGGGAUACUGACGUUUACCGACACAAUGUUUCACCGUGAGAUCUUUGGAGAGUUUCUUGCCAGGCUGCAGCGGUUCUGAUCAUGAAGGCCCUCGUGCAUCAUUAAGAAAUGUUUCUGUCCCUGUGGCUUUAUUUAGGUUAUGUGUGUAAAACUCAGGGUCCACAGGUGUCUUAUGAUUCGAUGCAACAAAAUAAACAAUUUAAAAGGUGAAA